Molecule: non-coding RNA, 720 nt
Organism: Gambusia affinis (western mosquitofish)
Lineage: Eukaryota; Metazoa; Chordata; Actinopteri; Cyprinodontiformes; Poeciliidae
Source: the annotation of a RefSeq genome assembly
CUCAGGGGAAAUAUCAAGAUUAGUUAAAGAAAUUAAUACAAGUGUGUGUUUGUGUGUGGGGGCGGAGUUCAACAAAGGCGGUGCUUACUCAGGGCGGCAUGCACACUGGAGGCGCCACUGGCUGUGAAGAGAACAACAGUCAGACUGAAUGUUGAACAUCAGCUGCUUUCUCCUGCUGAUUUAAACCUUGUUGGACAGAUGGAACAUUGGCUGUGGAUUAUUCUGGCUGCUCUUUUCUCUGAGUGUAAAGGAGAUUCAGUGAAGCAGACAGAAGGAGAACUUGUUGCUGCUGCAGGACAAUCACUGACUCUGAGAUGUACCUUUAAACCCAGUGGUGGAAAUGAUGCCUUGUUCUGGUAUAAACAAGAUAAAAACAGUUUCCCAAAGUUCAUGCUCAAGCAAUACUUCACAUCGAGAGAAAAGGCUUCAGAGUUCAACAACUACAGAUUCAAUGCAGAGAUCAAUGACAAAUCCUUCAACCUGACGAUCCAGGAUCUCCGUCCGUCAGAUUCUGCUGUGUACUACUGCGCUCUGCAGCCCACAGUGACAGGAAACACCAGAACCCUGUACAAAAACCUGCAGUACUCCACAGCAGCCACUAGAGGGCCUCAUAAUUCAGACUGCAUUAACAUGAGCGGGCUGCACAGUGGCGCAGUUGUGCAGCAGAGAAUCUUGAAGUUGCAGGCAUCGAACCUCCGGGACUGGAGUUUGACCCAGUGA